Molecule: long non-coding RNA, 1549 nt
Filed under: Castor canadensis (American beaver)
Lineage: Eukaryota; Metazoa; Chordata; Mammalia; Rodentia; Castoridae
Description: lncRNA (ENSCCNG00000009710.1)
Source: RNAcentral
CGGCAGGCUGAGAGCCGCCUCGGGCGGGGCGCCCUGACUGGCGGGCUGGCGGCUUGGGGGCGGAAGGUCGCACGGCACCGGCCAUCCGGCGGGGACCGGGAAGGCUGUGGGGCCCGGCGGGGAGGAGGUUCGGAGUUUGCAGAUCCAGGAUCGGCCGGAGAUGUGGACUCAGAGACUCCCAGAGGCGAUGUGACCUCCCCACAAGGGUCAGAGGUGGAGCUCGACGACUGAUGUGUUUUUCCACUCCACGUCGGGGCCAAGUGGAUUGUCACUGACUCCACUUGGAGUCUUUCAAAAAACAGCCAGAAGAGUCUUGAGCUCCCAUCAACAGGCCACUGGAGCUGCCAGCACUUUGGAACUGAACUUGUGGAAGGGAAGCAAGGGUGAGCGUCAGGCCCUGGGGGGCCGAUGGCCGGCAGAUGGCGGGAUCCACACUGGGCGCUGAGUGCACUCUCUGUACCACUGAUGAUGGGAACAGUGUCCGGAGCCAGGGGCACAUCAACAGGGCUCCACAUUACCCCCCUGUUUGCAGCCUCAGGUGUGAACCAGACCCCCAUGGCAGAUUGUCGCACCGUGUGUGGCUUGAAUGUCUCUGACCGCUGUGUCUUCAUCCGAACCAACCCUGACUGCCACAGCUCGGGGGGGUUCCUGGACUACCUUGAAGGCAUCUUCUGCCACUUCCCAUCCAACCUCCUCCCUCUGGCCGUCACCCUCUAUGUGUUCUGGCUGCUUUACCUGUUUCUGAUCCUGGGAGUCACCGCGUCAAAGUUGUGAGUUUGUCCUUGGGCUUCCGUCUUGUUGAUGAAUGGGAAAACAAAAUCCCAGGAGGCUCCCUGGAGACCCUGGGUCUGGGGGACAGCUGGGGCAGGAGCCGGUCAUGGUGGAUGUGCUGAUCGUUUGCUUUCCCUCCAUAGUUUCUGCCCUAACUUGUCGGCCAUUUCUACUACGCUUAAACUCUCUCACAACGUAGCAAUAUCCUUCCAUCAGGUUUCCUCCUGCAGGGGGAAGGGUGGACGGGGAAGGGGAGAGGCUGGGGCACAGAGUGGCCACUCACAGCCCAGGAAAGGCCUUGCACAGAGUCCCCUUGACAUGCUUCCUCCAUGGUGUCACCUUCCUGGCGUUUGGGAAUGGCGCUCCUGACAUCUUCAGUGCCAUGGUGGCUUUCUCAGACCCCCGCACAGCCAGCCUGGCCAUCGGGGCUCUGUUUGGUAAGUGUGACCCUAGCGGGCAUGGGUAGGGGUGGCCCAGGAGUGCCAGUGUCCGAGCACUGUCCUGCUGUCUUCCAGGUGCGGGCGUGCUGGUCACCACCGUGGUGGCUGGAGGUAUCACCAUCCUGCGUCCCUUCAUGGCUGCCUCCAGGCCCUUUCUCAGGGACAUCGCCUUCUACAUGGUGGCUGUGUUCCUGACCUUCACUGCGCUUACCGUGGCAGGGUCACGCUGGUGUGGGCCCUGGGUGAGCAGUCCAGGCCCAGCACAGGCAGAGGCUCAGGAAGUCUCUGGGGACCAGGGAGGCGAUGGGGGUGGCUGGAGGGAGGGGUGUUUGAUUUGC